Molecule: ribosomal RNA, 477 nt
Filed under: uncultured bacterium
Lineage: Bacteria
Description: bacterial SSU rRNA
Rfam family: Bacterial small subunit ribosomal RNA
Source: RNAcentral
AAGACAGCUUUCUGAGUUGUAAACUGCUUUUAUAUGGGAAGAAAAAGGCCUUGCGAGGCAAAUUGCCGGUACCAUAUGAAUAAGCACCGGCUAACUCCGUGCCAGCAGCCGCGGUAAUACGGAGGGUGCAAGCGUUGUCCGGAUUUAUUGGGUUUAAAGGGUGCGUAGGCGGAUCUUUAAGUCAGUGGUGAAAUCCUGCAGCUUAACUGUAGAACUGCCAUUGAUACUGGAGAUCUUGAGUAUSCUAGAGGUAGGCGGAAUUUAUGGUGUAGCGGUWAAAUGCAUAGAUACCAUAAAGRACACCAAUAGCGUAGGCAGCUUSCUGGAGUAUAACUGACGCUGAGGCACGAAAGCAUGGGUAGCGAACAGGAUUAGAUACCCUGGUAGUCCAUGCCGUAAACGAUGAUUACUCGAUGUUGGCGAUACACUGUCAGCGUCCAAGCGAAAGCGUUAAGUAAUCCACCUGGGGAGUACGCU